RNAcentral lists this ribosomal RNA (217 nucleotides) under uncultured bacterium. RNAcentral describes it as "partial 16S ribosomal RNA". It matches the Rfam family "Bacterial small subunit ribosomal RNA", at positions 15 to 225 of the family's 1533-position model. The record is from RNAcentral.
GAUCCUGGCUCAGGAUGAACGCUAGCUACAGGCUUAACACAUGCAAGUCGAGGGGCAGCAUGGUCUUAGCUUGCUAAGGCCGAUGGCGACCGGCGCACGGGUGAGUAACACGUAUCCAACCUGCCGUCUACUCUUGGACAGCCUUCUGAAAGGAAGAUUAAUACAAGAUGGCAUCAUGAGUCCGCAUGUUCACAUGAUUAAAGGUAUUCCGUGACGA